RNAcentral lists this transfer RNA (72 nucleotides) under Capra hircus (goat). It matches the Rfam family "tRNA". Rfam says of the family: Transfer RNA (tRNA) molecules are approximately 80 nucleotides in length. Their secondary structure includes four short double-helical elements and three loops (D, anti-codon, and T loops). Further hydrogen bonds mediate the characteristic L-shaped molecular structure. tRNAs have two regions of fundamental functional importance: the anti-codon, which is responsible for specific mRNA codon recognition, and the 3' end, to which the tRNAs corresponding amino acid is attached (by aminoacyl-tRNA synthetases). tRNAs cope with the degeneracy of the genetic code in two manners: having more than one tRNA (with a specific anti-codon) for a particular amino acid; and 'wobble' base-pairing, i.e. permitting non-standard base-pairing at the 3rd anti-codon position. RNAcentral also lists the same sequence under 1 other name. Lineage: Eukaryota; Metazoa; Chordata; Mammalia; Artiodactyla; Bovidae. The record is from Rfam by way of RNAcentral.
UCCCUGGUGGCUCAGACGGUAAAGCGUCUGCCUACAAUGUGGAAGACCUGGGUUCAAUCCCUGGGUUGGGAA